RNAcentral lists this ribosomal RNA (1346 nucleotides) under uncultured bacterium. Its description in RNAcentral is "partial 16S ribosomal RNA". It matches the Rfam family "Bacterial small subunit ribosomal RNA", at positions 28 to 1381 of the family's 1533-position model. The record is from RNAcentral.
GACGAACGCUGGCGGCGUGCUUAACACAUGCAAGUCGAACGGAAAGGCCCUGCUUUUGUGGGGUGCUCGAGUGGCGAACGGGUGAGUAACACGUGAGUAACCUGCCCUUGACUUUGGGAUAACUUCAGGAAACUGGGGCUAAUACCGGAUAGGAGCUCCUGCUGCAUGGUGGGGGUUGGAAAGUUUCGGCGGUUGGGGAUGGACUCGCGGCUUAUCAGCUUGUUGGUGGGGUAGUGGCUUACCAAGGCUUUGACGGGUAGCCGGCCUGAGAGGGUGACCGGCCACAUUGGGACUGAGAUACGGCCCAGACUCCUACGGGAGGCAGCAGUGGGGAAUAUUGCACAAUGGGCGGAAGCCUGAUGCAGCAACGCCGCGUGCGGGAUGACGGCCUUCGGGUUGUAAACCGCUUUCGCCUGUGACGAAGCGUGAGUGACGGUAAUGGGUAAAGAAGCACCGGCUAACUACGUGCCAGCAGCCGCGGUGAUACGUAGGGUGCGAGCGUUGUCCGGAUUUAUUGGGCGUAAAGGGCUCGUAGGUGGUUGAUCGCGUCGGAAGUGUAAUCUUGGGGCUUAACCCUGAGCGUGCUUUCGAUACGGGUUGACUUGAGGAAGGUAGGGGAGAAUGGAAUUCCUGGUGGAGCGGUGGAAUGCGCAGAUAUCAGGAGGAACACCAGUGGCGAAGGCGGUUCUCUGGGCCUUUCCUGACGCUGAGGAGCGAAAGCGUGGGGAGCGAACAGGCUUAGAUACCCUGGUAGUCCACGCUGUAAACGGUGGGUACUAGGUGUGGGGUCCACUCCACGGGUUCCGUGCCGUAGCUAACGCUUUAAGUACCCCGCCUGGGGAGUACGGCCGCAAGGCUAAAACUCAAAGGAAUUGACGGGGCCCCGCACAAGCGGCGGAGCAUGCGGAUUAAUUCGAUGCAACGCGUAGAACCUUACCUGGGUUUGACAUGGAUCGGGAGUGCUCAGAGAUGGGUGUGCCUCUUUUGGGGUCGGUUCACAGGUGGUGCAUGCCUGUCGUCAGCUCGUGUCGUGAGAUGUUGGGUUAAGUCCCGCAACGAGCGCAACCCUUGUUCACUGUUGCCAGCACGUUAUGGUGGGGACUCAGUGGAGACCGCCGGGGUCAACUCGGAGGAAGGUGGGGAUGACGUCAAGUCAUCAUGCCCCUUAUGUCCAGGGCUUCACGCAUGCUACAAUGGCUGGUACAGAGAGUGGCGAGCCUGUGAGGGUGAGCGAAUCUCGGAAAGCCGGUCUCAGUUCGGAUUGGGGUCUGCAACUCGACCUCAUGAAGUCGGAGUCGCUAGUAAUCGCAGAUCAGCAACGCUGCGGUGAAUACGUUCCCGGGGCU